Molecule: ribosomal RNA, 551 nt
Filed under: uncultured bacterium
Lineage: Bacteria
Description: bacterial SSU rRNA
Rfam family: Bacterial small subunit ribosomal RNA
Source: RNAcentral
CUGAGGCGCGAAAGCGUGGGGAGCGAACAGGAUUAGAUACCCUGGUAGUCCACGCCGUAAACGAUGAGUGCUAAGUGUUAGAGGGUUUCCGCCCUUUAGUGCUGCAGCUAACGCAUUAAGCACUCCGCCUGGGGAGUACGGCCGCAAGGCUGAAACUCAAAGGAAUUGACGGGGGCCCGCACAAGCGGUGGAGCAUGUGGUUUAAUUCGAAGCAACGCGAAGAACCUUACCAGGUCUUGACAUCCUUUUGCCCUCCCUAGAGAUAGGGAUUUCCCUUCGGGGACAAAAGUGACAGGUGGUGCAUGGUUGUCGUCAGCUCGUGUCGUGAGAUGUUGGGUUAAGUCCCGCAACGAGCGCAACCCUUGAUCUUAGUUGCCAGCAUUCAGUUGGGCACUCUAAGGUGACUGCCGGUGACAAACCGGAGGAAGGUGGGGAUGACGUCAAAUCAUCAUGCCCCUUAUGACCUGGGCUACACACGUGCUACAAUGGAUGGUACAAAGGGCAGCAAAACCGCGAGGUUGAGCCAAUCCCAUAAAACCAUUCUCAGUUCG